AUUUUAUACAACUCUAUAUAGUCCGUAAAAAAAUCACUUCACACGCGGCAUUUUAACUCAAUGGGUCAAAUGUCAUGUCAAAAGGACGGUUGA
Long non-coding RNA from Maniola jurtina (meadow brown), 93 nucleotides. RefSeq lists it as uncharacterized. The transcript is spliced from 3 exons. The record is from RefSeq and is a predicted model, not a curated record. Lineage: Eukaryota; Metazoa; Arthropoda; Insecta; Lepidoptera; Nymphalidae.